GCAACGAUAGUUCAGUGGUAGAAUCCUUGCCUUCCAUACAGGAGAUCCAGGUUCAAUUCCUGGCCAGUGCA
This 71-nucleotide transfer RNA is filed under the name Loxodonta africana (African savanna elephant). It matches the Rfam family "tRNA". Rfam says of the family: Transfer RNA (tRNA) molecules are approximately 80 nucleotides in length. Their secondary structure includes four short double-helical elements and three loops (D, anti-codon, and T loops). Further hydrogen bonds mediate the characteristic L-shaped molecular structure. tRNAs have two regions of fundamental functional importance: the anti-codon, which is responsible for specific mRNA codon recognition, and the 3' end, to which the tRNAs corresponding amino acid is attached (by aminoacyl-tRNA synthetases). tRNAs cope with the degeneracy of the genetic code in two manners: having more than one tRNA (with a specific anti-codon) for a particular amino acid; and 'wobble' base-pairing, i.e. permitting non-standard base-pairing at the 3rd anti-codon position. Lineage: Eukaryota; Metazoa; Chordata; Mammalia; Proboscidea; Elephantidae. The record is from Rfam by way of RNAcentral.